CAGUUUGGACGCUCAGGAUUGCACCACGUCAUCAGUCAACAGUCCACGGUUUGACCACGCGGAUGAACAGUAACACAGUUUGACCCGGAUGAACAGUAACACGGUUUGGUUGAAAAUAAUCUUGUGUGAUGCAUGCACCGUACGCGAGAUUUUUCGUCCACUGAUAUGCUGCCACGUCACCAUCAACAGUACAUAAGAAUUUUAGUCCAACAGGAUCGUGACACCUCAUCAGUCAAUGCCACAUCAUCGGUCAAUGCCACAUCAUCGAUCCGUCUAUGUGAACAGUGCUAUGAACAGUAACGUAUACAAUACCGUAUACGUGAAUAGUACCGUACAUGUGAAUAGUGCCAUUUUUCCUUUUAUGCUCCUCCUAAGGUUUUCGACCGUCCUGAGUUCAAAAGUGAUGUCCAUUUUGCCGUCUGAUCUCUCCUUUAUUGUGAAAUGACUAUAAUGCCCCUAAAAUACAUAAAUUACUUAAUUAAAAUAAAAUACACGUAAUUAAAUCACAAGAAUGUUAAAAACAUAAAAGUAAGGG
RNAcentral lists this long non-coding RNA (535 nucleotides) under Citrus x clementina. RNAcentral's name for it is "Citrus clementina (C. clementina) long non-coding RNA (CCLE_LNC000165)". The record is from RNAcentral. Lineage: Eukaryota; Viridiplantae; Streptophyta; Magnoliopsida; Sapindales; Rutaceae.